Molecule: ribosomal RNA, 253 nt
Filed under: uncultured bacterium
Lineage: Bacteria
Description: partial 16S ribosomal RNA
Rfam family: Bacterial small subunit ribosomal RNA
Source: RNAcentral
UACGGAGGGGACUAGCGUUGUUCGGAAUUACUGGGCGUAAAGCGCACGUAGGCGGAUUUGUAAGUCAGGGGUGAAAUCCCGGGGCUCAACCUCGGAACUGCCUUUGAUACUGCAAAUCUCGAGUCCGGAAGAGGUGAGUGGAAUUCCACGUGUAGCAGUGAAAUGCGUAGAGAUGUGGAGGAACACCGAUGGCGAAGGCAGCCUCCUGGGCCAGCACUGACGCUCAUGCACGAAAGCGUGGGGAGCAAACAGG